Equus caballus (horse) is the source of this 597-nucleotide non-coding RNA. The record is from the annotation of a RefSeq genome assembly. NCBI's taxonomy places the organism in Eukaryota, Metazoa, Chordata, Mammalia, Perissodactyla, Equidae.
GCCUUGUCCUGGGUGCAAGAGGAGCCGCAGUCUUGCUCCCCACAGAGCUCUGAGAAGCCUGAACCAAGAUCUUGAUCAACAGAGAGAAGACACAGGUGCCAGGAAGCCCCAGGUUCCCUGAACAAGGGCCAUUUCUAAAAACACCUGCUAACACAGGGGUGCUGGUUCCUUUUUGAAAGCCCACUUGCUGGGGUGGGGCCAUACCUCCCACUGAGGUAGGCUAGAAAGGAGCCCUGAGACAGCUCAGCUUAAGCCAUGGCCUCUGUACGCAUCUCAACACUGGUGAUUCUCUUCACACUGGGGACUUUGAGCCUCGCUAAGACCACCCAGCCCAUCUUCAGUGACUCAUAUGAAGGACAAGAGGUGAACAUAACCUGUAACCACACCGACAUUGCUACAAAUGAGUACAUCCUCUGGUACCGACAGUUCCCCAACCAGGGACCACAAUUUGUUAUUCAAGGUUUUAACACAAAAGUGGAAAAUGAAGUGGCAUCUCUGUUCAUCCCUGACGACAGGAAGUCCAGCACCCUGAGCCUGCCCCAGGCUACCCUGAGAGACACCGCUGUGUACUACUGCAUCGUGAGUGACACACAGUGA